Molecule: non-coding RNA, 124 nt
Filed under: Prorocentrum minimum
Lineage: Eukaryota; Dinophyceae; Prorocentrales; Prorocentraceae
Source: RNAcentral
GGGCCGGAUAUUUCGGCGGUUUCUUUGACUACAAGCUGUAGGCGGCCGCUGGUGCCAGGGGCGCCAGCAUCUUCAUGGCGGGCAGAACGUUUUUUUAACAUUGGACUUUUGGCCACCGAGCCCU